GUCCUCAGGCAGAAGUAGGUACUACUUUAGAUUCCUAGAGGUCAAGAAGCACCUUCCAUAGCGUAAAGUGCAGGAAGAGUAUCGUCCUUGACUGAUCUGCUUUGCCCCCACUUGGGGAUGAUAGAAUCUUUUCAGACUGCAAGGAAAAGCCUUCAGAGCUGUCACACUUCUUUGUCCCUGGGAGACACUGACUCUGUAUGUGGAGCCUGGCCUAUGUCUCUGCGAUUGUCCCGGUCUGGUGAUGCCAUCCUUCGUCUCUACAAAGGCAGAGAUGAUCUGCUGUGGAAUUUUGCCUAUAGACCAGAUGGGGGACCAUGUUCCACUAUCUCUCUAAUAUCCUUUGCUCGGGAUUUGGAUAUUAUGAUCGUAGAUUCACACACCUUCCCAUCUGGAUCUGGUCUGUAAAUAAUCUGAAUUGAUUCAAGUCUCUCUACUUAAAUUUAAUAUUAUUCCUAAAUAUGCUUUCCAUGCAGGAAGUUCUUUUUGGCUCUUUCCCUACACAGACUAGUCCUAACCUUGUCACUGUCUGUCACCACACCCUUCACAAGUUCCUUUAAAUGUAGCAUUCUCUUACUUGUGAAUUAUCUUGGCCAGUCCGUCUUACAGAACAAUAAAAAUUCUUCCUCCCGGAUAUGUACUUUCUCUCCCCUAAAGUAAUUCAUAGACUAUAUAUCAACUCCAGCUUUCCCACACACAACGUUGUCUUUUACCUGGUGAACGCACUAGCAUGCUGUAAGACAGUGGUCAGGCUGCCAGUGGGCUGUGCACACUGCACACACUGCUUAUGCUGACAAAUGAUGUUUCAUUGUUAUUGUGGUCCCCCGUCUGCCUGUAUCCACCUGUUGUCUCUUGUCUCUGACAGAAUGUACCCCUGUUCACACAUUAUUGUAAUAAUUUUUGUACAGAGUAUGCCUUGUAAGGUAUCGUUUGAAAACUCAUAAUUUUCAGAUCAUUAUUGUCCUGGUAAAAUAUGUUCGUGGCAACACUGUAUGUGAAGUUAUAAGAGUCCACUGUAUGGUGUUAACAACGCAUGUUCUAAAUCCCAGAGCCCUGUCCAACCUGAGGUUGGCAAACAGGUCUGCCGUAAACAAAAAAAAGUGCACUCUGCUUAAUUUGCAUUUAAGCAGUAAACAGAGUCAUCAAGCAGAAAGGGAAACAAAGAAAGCGCAAACAGGUGAGGGGGAAAAGCAGCAGGGAACAUUCUUCCAUAUAGAUUCUUUGUCUCCUGGUGUCCAGCUGGGAAUGUUUUUCAGGAGAGGGACUGAAACUAUAAAAUGGAGGGACAAACACCCCAAGGCCCCCCUCUCUCUCUCCCUGCCCAUCGCAUUCAAUGCGCCUGAAGUGACCAAGGAAGAAAGCAUUGGACUCUGGAGAAGGACCCCUCACCUAUGGGGUUGGGUGAGUCAGACUGCAGAAAGCAUCUGGUGAGAAAUGUUGCUUGAAUGUGAUAUAGUUUAAGUUAUGUGUUAAUAAAUGUUUUAUCUUUAUUUUUCUUCUAAUCAUUUCUGACUUUUAUGCCUCAUUACAUGCACUCUCGUAAAAUCUCUUUGUAGUUAAUAAACUUGUUUUAUCUAAUCCAGUAUGUUUAAAUUGAAGUGUCUGGGAAACUCUAUUUGGGAUGGCAAGUUUUGUGCAUAUUAUUCUAUUAAAGGAAUAACAGAUUUAAUGUAACUUGUGUUUUCCAGGAGAGGACUGGGCAGUACAGGACAUACAUUUCUGGGGGGAAAUCUAAUACUUGGGGUGCGUUGGGGUCACUCUGCAGUAUAACCGAGACUGGUGAGAGUCAGAAUGUAACUCAGGAGUGGCUGGCAAGCUGCAAUUACACACAGACACUCAAGCUGUGUCUUUCAGGCUCCAUGGUUGGCAACAGCAAUGUUCUAUGAUAUCAGGCACGGGGUGAAACAUACUGGAAAUUCAUACAUCCUCCUGGGAGUGAGUGCAGAUGAAAAAUGCCUAGGAAAAUGUAGAAUUUGAUGGUCAAGAUGUAAUCAGACCACUUGGACACUUGCAUUCAUGAAGGAAUAUGGCAUAUCCCAUGUGAAAAUGCAAAUGAAUAAUUUGCAAUUUCAGUUUUAUUGUUUAAGAAAAGAGGUCAUGUACAACUGAAAAAUACAAGUCUUUAAAAUCUCAUUAUAAUGCUCCUUAAGCCACAUUGGAAAAUCUUGAAUUGUUAAAUGAUUUAUUACUGCUUUUUUGCCAGAACAGCUUAUAAUCACAGCAACAAAGUAAAUUGUACAGAAUACCCAGAGAUGCCAGACAUUGCCCUUUCAUAUCACCCUGACUCCCGCCCCCUUAUCCUGACACCAAUUCUUCUUGGGUUAAAAUAGUCUUGAUAGUUAUUGCUGUUAGAACACAGGCAUAUCUAAUAGGUCACAUGUCUUUAUAAGCAGUCAUAGUGGGAGGGGGAAUUCACUACUCCAUUAACUAGAACAAAGUUUUAAAUAGCUACUCUUCGUAAUAGCUUUACAAAAAAAAGUGAUUUUCCCAUUCUCAGGAGCUGCUGAGAACAGACAAUAAACAAGAUCAGGUCUGUGUCUUCACGCUUUCUUUCUCGGUGUCCUUUGCACAUGGAAUACCCUCCUCUAAAGCCACCACCUUCUCUUCACUCAAGCCAGUCCACAAGACUUGUUUCUACCAUGAUGCCUAGUGGAAAUUGCUAGCGGCUGGGGAGAGGUCCAAUGGGGUUUGCUCAUAUUUACUCAUUUUUUUAAAAAAGCUUUUAAACUACUUGGGACUAUCAAAGUAUGCCCAUGCUGUAGCCAGCCUAUGGAAGAGUGUGAUCUUAGCAUUACCCACUUUCCCCUUCCCUUCUGGUAUUUGUUACACUGACUUGUAGUGUCAGGUCUUAGGUCACAUUGUACAUUCUGCAGAGCAGGGACUGUACUGCAACUUCCUGUCUGCACAAUGUCCGGCACAAACAACAGGCCACCACCUGAGGUCUUCGGCUAUUCGUACCAUGGUAAUGCCCAAAGUGCAUGCUGUUGGCUUGGAGAAUUAGCAGAUUCUCUGGGGAAGGAUGGGGUUGGGUUUUGGUACUAAUAAUGCCAACGAUGUAUGAUUGUGUUUUAUCCCAUGGGGAGGGAUACCACAGCUCCUCCAGGAACUAA
Chelonia mydas (Green sea turtle) is the source of this 3107-nucleotide long non-coding RNA. RefSeq lists it as uncharacterized. NCBI's taxonomy places the organism in Eukaryota, Metazoa, Chordata, Testudines, Cheloniidae. The transcript has 3 exons. The record is from RefSeq and is a predicted model, not a curated record.